GAUUCCACAAAUCCAUCUGUGUACACUCCCUCGUGCCUUGUCCAUAGAAGAGGCAUAACAGUAAUAGUUAUUACAGCUAGCAUUUAUAUAGGGCUCUAAAGUUUGCAAAGUAUCUCAAUUGAUCUUCACCUCAAUCCCAGGAGAUACUAGAUACUAUUAUUGUGCCCAUUUUAUAGUUAAGGAAACUGAAGUAAGCAAAGAUUAAGUGCCUUCCUUCUUCCAGAUCUUGUAGCGACUCUCUGAGGCUGGAUUUGAACUCAGCCUUCCCGAGUCUAGCCAGAAAGCUUUCUAUCCGCUGUACUAUGUAGCUGCUUAUUAAUGCUGUAAUUCAUGAAUGCUUCUGAACUGACUGAUGAUUAAUUGAUAUGAGUUCAUAGAUCCCCACUAGGUAAUGAGGACAACCUAACCUAGUUUAUGUGCAAAGAGCCCCAGGAGUACCUGAGUGAAGAGAAGAUGAGAAUUAGGACAUUCACAAACAGAGGCAAAGCGAAGCCACCCAAGGGGACAGCCGUGGAGAAAGUGGAUCUUUCUCCAUGUCCUGGCCACGUCCAUGAAUCACUGUGGUAGGUAAGGCAGAAGGAAGACUAUAUUUGGCAUCCGAAUACAAGAGUUCAAUGACUGACUCUGACAUCUGCUCUUUGAGUGAUCACGAACAUGAAGUCACAGAGGCACAAAGGAGGAUGACAUGGCUGGGAAUGGGGAGAGAGGCAUGAUGGAGGGAUUCCCUAGACCCGGGCAGCAGAGGUGAGACCUCUCAGGAGUGGCCCAAUGGUCCUGCCCAGGCUUCAGGUUGAGCAGAUGGCAGAAGUUCUGGGAGGUCAAUGCUUGGCAUCAUUGCAGGGUACCAGAAGCAUUGGCAUCAAGAAAUAAAAAGAACAUAUUCUGCUAGUCAUCUGAAACUAAAAGGGGAAAUUGAAGAAAGAACGUGUCAUUUGUUGGAAUUUCCUCCAAUCCUGGAACAGAUGAGGAAACCAAGGCCCAGAAUACAGAAGUGACCUUCCCAAAGCCAUAGAGAGAAAGCACACACCAGGAUGGAAUCUAAGUGCACCAAAAUGGUAGUCUAAUACAUCUCUCCACUGUACCAGAAACAUUUCGGGGAAUGAAAAAGUCUCCCAUCCUCAUUCUCCUCAGUUACAGGAGAGAAGAUAGACAAAAGUCCUUAAUUGUCUAUUAGAAACUAAUUACUAGCAUCCAAUGUCCCGUGGCCUCCUGCAAGUAAUAGUGCUGACAGUGUGAAGGCUGGUUUGAGCUUCAGAAGGCAGCUUUACUGAAGAGUAUCCAUAGCAAGAUAAGAAAGAAAGAAGAAGAGAAAGAGCCUUUCCUUGUGACUUCAUUAGGAAUGAGCUAACCUCUCCUUUAAUGUCCAAAUGAUCAUUUAUUUUCCUCCAAAAGGGAGUAUACUCUUUAAACUUCAUUUUCCGUGUUUCCUUUUUGAUCUGUGUUUUCUUUUGCAAUGGGGCUAAUCUGGAAAUAUAUUUUACAUGACUUUACAUGUAUAAUCUAUAUCAAAUUGCUUCCCUUCUCAAGGAAAGGGAGAGGAACAGGAGGGAGGCAGAGAAUUUGAAAUUCAAAUGUUUUUAAACUGAUUGAUUUAAAAAAAUAAAAGCAACUG
Molecule: long non-coding RNA, 1612 nt
Filed under: Monodelphis domestica (gray short-tailed opossum)
Lineage: Eukaryota; Metazoa; Chordata; Mammalia; Didelphimorphia; Didelphidae
Description: lncRNA (ENSMODG00000033566.2)
Source: RNAcentral